GGGUUGUGAGGUUAAGCGACUAAGCGUACACGGUGGAUGCCCUGGCAGUCAGAGGCGAUGAAGGACGUGCUAAUCUGCGAUAAGCGCCGGUAAGGUGAUAUGAACCGUUAUAACCGGCGAUUUCCGAAUGGGGAAACCCAGUGUGAUUCGUCACACUAUCAUUAACUGAAUCCAUA
Molecule: ribosomal RNA, 176 nt
Filed under: Salmonella enterica subsp. enterica serovar Derby
Lineage: Bacteria; Pseudomonadati; Pseudomonadota; Gammaproteobacteria; Enterobacterales; Enterobacteriaceae
Also listed under: 4 other names
Description: partial 23S ribosomal RNA
Rfam family: Bacterial large subunit ribosomal RNA
Source: RNAcentral